AUGAACGCUGGCGGCGUGCCUAAUACAUGCAAGUCGAGCGAACGGACGAGAAGCUUGCUUCUCUGAUGUUAGCGGCGGACGGGUGAGUAACACGUGGAUAACCUACCUAUAAGACUGGGAUAACUUCGGGAAACCGGAGCUAAUACCGGAUAAUAUUUUGAACCGCAUGGUUCAAAAGUGAAAGACGGUCUUGCUGUCACUUAUAGAUGGAUCCGCGCUGCAUUAGCUAGUUGGUAAGGUAACGGCUUACCAAGGCAACGAUGCAUAGCCGACCUGAGAGGGUGAUCGGCCACACUGGAACUGAGACACGGUCCAGACUCCUACGGGAGGCAGCAGUAGGGAAUCUUCCGCAAUGGGCGAAAGCCUGACGGAGCAACGCCGCGUGAGUGAUGAAGGUCUUCGGAUCGUAAAACUCUGUUAUUAGGGAAGAACAUAUGUGUAAGUAACUGUGCACAUCUUGACGUUACCUAAACAGAAAGCCACGGCUAACUCCGUG
Molecule: ribosomal RNA, 496 nt
Filed under: uncultured bacterium
Lineage: Bacteria
Description: partial 16S ribosomal RNA
Rfam family: Bacterial small subunit ribosomal RNA
Source: RNAcentral